GCUUGUUGGUGGGGUAACGGCCUACCAAGGCGACGACGGGUAGCUGGUCUGAGAGGACGAUCAGCCACACUGGGACUGAGACACGGCCCAGACUCCUACGGGAGGCAGCAGUAGGGAAUCUUGCUCAAUGGGCGAAAGCCUGAAGCAGCGACGCCGCGUGCGGGAUGAAGGCCUUCGGGUUGUAAACCGCUUUCAGCAGGGACGAAAUUGACGGUACCUGCAGAAGAAGGCCCGGCCAACUACGUGCCAGCAGCCGCGGUAAUACGUAGGGGCCUAGCGUUGUCCGGAUUUAUUGGGCGUAAAGAGCUCGUAGGCGGCUUGGUUAGUCAGGUGUGAAAUCUCCACGCUCAACGUGGAGGGGCCACCUGAUACUGCCAUGGCUUGAGUCCGGUAGGGGAGUGUGGAAUUCCCGGUGUAGCGGUGAAAUGCGCAGAUAUCGGGAGGAACACCCGUAGCGAAGGCGGCACUCUGGGCCGGUACUGACGCUGAGGAGCGAAAGCGUGGGGAACAAACAGGAUUAGAUACCCUGGCAGUCCACGCCGUAAACGUUGGGCACUAGGUGUGGGACUCUAUCGACGGGUUCCGUGCCGUAGCUAACGCAUUAAGUGCCCCGCCUGGGGAGUACGG
Molecule: ribosomal RNA, 627 nt
Filed under: uncultured bacterium
Lineage: Bacteria
Description: bacterial SSU rRNA
Rfam family: Bacterial small subunit ribosomal RNA
Source: RNAcentral